CAACGCCGCGUGAGUGAAGAAGGUUUUCGGAUCGUAAAGCUCUGUUGUAAGAGAAGAACAAGUGGGAUAGUGGAAAGUUCACACUGUGACGGUAUCUUACCAGAAAGGGACGGCUAACUACGUGCCAGCAGCCGCGGUAAUACGUAGGUCCCGAGCGUUGUCCGGAUUUAUUGGGCGUAAAGCGAGCGCAGGCGGUUUGAUAAGUCUGAAGUUAAAGGCUGUGGCUCAACCAUAGUUCGCUUUGGAAACUGUCAAACUUGAGUGCAGAAGGGGAGAGUGGAAUUCCAUGUGUAGCGGUGAAAUGCGUAGAUAUAUGGAGGAACACCGGUGGCGAAAGCGGCUCUCUGGUCUGUAACUGACGCUGAGGCUCGAAAGCGUGGGGAGCGAACAGGAUUAGAUACCCUGGUAGUCCACGCCGUAAACGAUGAGUGCUAGGUGUUGGAUCCUUUCCGGGAUUCAGUGCCGCAGCUAACGCAUUAAGCACUCCGCCUGGGGAGUACGACCGCAAGGUUGAAACUCAAAGGAAUUGACGGGGGCCCGCACAAGCGGUGGAGCAUGUGGUUUAAUUCGAGGCAACGCGAAGAACCUUACCAGGUCUUGACAUCCCGAUGCUAUUUCUAGAGAUAGAAAGUUACUUCGGUACAUCGGUGACAGGUGGUGCAUGGUUGUCGUCAGCUCGUGUCGUGAGAUGUUGGGUUAAGUCCCGCAACGAGCGCAACCCCUAUUGUUAGUUGCCAUCAUUCAGUUGGGCACUCUAGCGAGACUGCCGGUAAUAAACCGGAGGAAGGUGGGGAUGACGUCAAAUCAUCAUGSCCCUUAUGACCUGGGCUACACACGUGCUACAAUGGUUGGUACAACGAGUUGCGAGUCGGUGACGGCGAGCUAAUCUCUUAAAGCCAAUCUCAGUUCGGAUUGUAGGCUGCAACUCGCCUACAUGAAGUCGGAAUCGCUAUUAAUCGCGGAUCAGCACGCCGCGGUGAAUACGUUCCCGG
Molecule: ribosomal RNA, 992 nt
Filed under: uncultured Streptococcus sp.
Lineage: Bacteria; Bacillati; Bacillota; Bacilli; Lactobacillales; Streptococcaceae
Description: bacterial SSU rRNA
Rfam family: Bacterial small subunit ribosomal RNA
Source: RNAcentral